UUCCGGUUGAUCCUGCCGGACCUGACUGCUAUCGGAUUGAUACUAAGCCAUGCGAGUCAUUGUAGCAAUACAAGGCAGACGGCUCAGUAACGCGUAGUCAACCUACCCUAUGGACGGGAAUAACCUCGGGAAACUGAGAAUAAUGCCCGAUAGAACAUUAUGCCUGGAAUGGUUUAUGUUCCAAAUGAUUUAUCGCCGUAGGAUGGGACUGCGGCCUAUCAGUUUGUUGGUGAGGUAAUGGCCCACCAAGACUAUUACAGGUACGGGCUCUGAGAGGAGUGGCCCGGAGAUGGGUACUGAGACACGGACCCAGGCCCUAUGGGGCGCAGCAGGCGAGAAAACUUUGCAAUGUGCGAAAGCACGACAAGGUUAAUCCGAGUGGUUUCUGCUAAAGGAACCUUUUGACAGUCCUAGAAACACUGUUGAAUAAGGGGUGGGCAAGUUCUGGUGUCAGCCGCCGCGGUAAAACCAGCACCUCAAGUGGUCAGGAUGAUUAUUGGGCCUAAAGCAUCCGUAGCCGGCUCUGUAAGUUUUCGGUUAAAUCUAUACGCUCAACGUAUAGGCUGCCGGGAAUACUGCAGAGCUAGGGAGUGGGAGAGGUAGACGGUACUCGGUAGGAAGGGGUAAAAUCCUUUGAUCUAUUGAUGACCACCUGUGGCGAAGGCGGUCUACCAGAACACGUCCGACGGUGAGGGAUGAAAGCUGGGGGAGCAAACCGGAUUAGAUACCCGGGUAGUCCCAGCUGUAAACUAUGCAAACUCAGUGAUGCAUUGGCUUGUGGCCAAUGCAGUGCUGCAGGGAAGCCGUUAAGUUUGCCGCCUGGGAGGUACGUACGCAAGUAUGAAACUUAAAGGAAUUGGCGGGGGAGCACCACAAGGGGUGAAGCCUGCGGUUCAAUUGGAUUCAACGCCGGG
RNAcentral lists this ribosomal RNA (914 nucleotides) under uncultured Nitrososphaerota archaeon. Its description in RNAcentral is "bacterial SSU rRNA". It matches the Rfam family "Archaeal small subunit ribosomal RNA", at positions 1 to 922 of the family's 1478-position model. The record is from RNAcentral. Lineage: Archaea; Thermoproteati; Nitrososphaerota.